Molecule: transfer RNA, 89 nt
Filed under: Archaeoglobus veneficus SNP6
Lineage: Archaea; Methanobacteriati; Methanobacteriota; Archaeoglobi; Archaeoglobales; Archaeoglobaceae
Description: tRNA-Und (NNN) (tRNA-Und-NNN-1-1)
Source: RNAcentral
GCCUCUUUCCAGCCGUUCUUCAAUUUCCUCAACAGGCCUUGAGAGCCGGUGCCCGCAAGGGCUCCUGGGUUCAAAUCCCAGCCCCGGCG